RNAcentral lists this ribosomal RNA (737 nucleotides) under Prorocentrum micans. Its description in RNAcentral is "partial large subunit ribosomal RNA". It matches the Rfam family "Eukaryotic large subunit ribosomal RNA", at positions 344 to 1027 of the family's 3401-position model. Lineage: Eukaryota; Dinophyceae; Prorocentrales; Prorocentraceae. The record is from RNAcentral.
ACAAGUACCGUGAGGGAAAGGUGAAAAGGACUUUGAAAAGAGAGUUAAAAGUGCCUGAAAUUGCUGAAAGGGAAGCGAAUGGAACCAGUGUUGCUUGGCGAGAUUGUCGUACGCAUUCGCGUGUGGUGGUUCUUGCCUUGUGUGUCAACGCCAGUUCGCGAUCGAGGAAAACUCCAGGGACAUGGUAGCCUACCCCUGGGUGGGUGAAUGUGCUUGGUAGAACUCAUUUGCGGACUGUUUCCUUCGUGUCUGGUUGCAGUGCUGCUUGAUCCUGUGUUGGCGCUUGGGGGUGGGAGCUCGCUCCUCACACCCUGCCCUUCUAAGGUUCUCAGCGCUUCCCUGACACAUAGACGAUGACUAAAUGGUUCUAUUCGACCCGUCUUGAAACACGGACCAAGGAGUCUAACAUAUGUGCGAGUCCACGGGUGGUAAACCUGCUGGCGCAGUGAAAGCGACUGCUGGGAUUUUUGCACCAGCAACCGACCAAUCAAUUGAGAGAGGUUUGAGUAUGAGCAUAUCUGUUAGGACCCGAAAGAUGGUGAACUAUGCCUGAGAAGGGCAAACUCAGGGGAAACUCUGAUGGAGGCUCGUAGCGAUACUGACGUGCAAAUCGUUCGUCAUACUUGGGUAUAGGGGCGAAAGACUAAUCGAACCAUCUAGUAGCUGGUUCCCUCCGAAGUUUCCCUCAGGAUAGCUGGAGUUGAACAGUUUUAUCAGGUAAAGCGAAUGAUUAGAGC